UUCUCCUGGCUAUAGUCCUACGAGUCCUGCAUAUUCUCCUACAAGUCCAUCCUAUUCACCCACGUCGCCUAGCUACAGCCCCACUUCUCCGAGCUACAGUCCCACCUCCCCAAGCUACAGCCCCACCUCUCCUAGUUACAGCCCCACCUCUCCAAGCUAUAGCCCGACUUCCCCAAGCUAUAGUCCAACUUCGCCAGUUUAUAGCGCUUAUAGCCCCACUUCACCGGCCUAUAGCCCCACCUCACCAUCUUACAGCCCUACAUCCCCUUCUUACAGCCCAACUUCCCCUUCAUACAGCCCAACAUCACCAUCCUACAGCCCAACAUCUCCAUCAUACAGCCCUACCUCCCCAGCGUAUAGCCCAACAUCCCCUGGCUAUAGCCCAACCUCACCAAGCUACAGCCCGACAUCACCAAGCUACGGUCCUACUUCUCCAAGUUACAAUCCACAGUCAGCCAAAUACAGUCCUUCACUUGCAUACUCACCUAGUAGUCCAAGGUUGUCACCUUCUAGUCCAUAUAGUCCUACAUCACCAAAUUACAGGUAAGUGAUGGUUCUAAAUGGUGGCAUGUAAUGUUUUUACUGAUGUAAGCAUUUGCAUGUAAUAGUUGCAUAAUUAUUUUCUCUUCUUGUCCUCUGAUUUUUUAAGUUUUUGCUUUUUUUGCAGCCCAACAUCACCAUCAUACUCACCUACUUCUCC
Molecule: long non-coding RNA, 700 nt
Filed under: Carica papaya (papaya)
Lineage: Eukaryota; Viridiplantae; Streptophyta; Magnoliopsida; Brassicales; Caricaceae
Description: long non-coding RNA (CPAP_LNC012290)
Source: RNAcentral